UUGGGAAGUAGGUGAUAAAUAAGCUAUUUAUAUUGUAGAAAUGUGUAAAGAAUGUUAUACAUAGUAUGUGAUUAAUACAAAUUUGAUUCCAACUGAAUUAGAGGCUACAGCAGAUACACCAAAAGGAAGAAACUAUAAAAAAAAUUUGCAAUGUGGUUACAAGUAGGAUUUUAGUUUAUGUUUUUUUAGAUUCAGAUUGUAUGAAUAUCUAUGAGACCAUUAGCACGCCUGUGUAUACUAAGAACUUUACUAGUUACUUUUUAAAAAUUAUGUGUUUUUAAUAAAAUGUCAGUUCUAUGAGCAUGUUUUGAGUCUGUUCUGCUCCCUGUUGUAGUCCUAGCACAGGAAGAAUCCUGGCUUACUGGUUUCAUAUUCAUUCUGCACCUUCCUUGCUAUAGUAUAAUUCUGUCACAUCGUUAAUGUGAAUGUAUUAGUUUAUCUUCAUAAUUUAUAAUAAAUUAACGUUUAUUACGGUUAGCAGUCAGUAACAUGGAAAAGCAAGAACUCUAACUGAACAGGUUGACUAUAUAUUGAUCUAAAAACCUCAGAAGAGAAAAAAUAACUGUCAAAAACAAGUUUUACACUUUUCCAAGUUAUUCUUGUAUCAGAAUUCUGUCAAUAAAAAAUACAUUUUUGUUGAUACCUUUUUUUUUUUUUUUUUUUUUUUGGACCAUGAGGGUAAUUCUUAUUUAUUGCAGAUCAACUUGGAAAAAGGUAUGAAAAACAUGAAUAGCAUUAAUGAAAUAAUGCACUGAUACCAGCAAUAUCAUAAUGUAAAUACAGUGUUUGAUAAAAUUUAGAUGUGGAUCUUUCCACACAUUUAUCUGCAUUUAUUCUAAGAUUUUAGGUUGGAGUGAAAAAUUUGGGCCAUUCUCUUCUAAAUGAUUACAAAUAAUGCAUCAUGAAUAUUUUAUAAAAACAUUGAGUAGCCUAGUCGAUAGUUUUGAAAUAUGAUUUUAUGUGCCAUCUUUUAUUCUAUCAUAUAAUUGUUUUCUGAUUCACUUGACUUGCUUUUAUAGCAUUUUCAAUAUAUUAAAUAUUUUCUGUCUUCUUUCUCUCAGAUUUACUAAAAUAUUACAUUUUAAAUAGUGGUUUUUUCCAAUAUUUAAUUUUGCCAUUAUUCCACCCCCAUGAUUCAUUCACCUCCCGAGAGGCCCCACAUCCAACACUGGGGAAUACAAUUCAACCUGAGAUUUAGGUCGGGACAGAGAUCCAAACUUUAUAAUUCCGCCCUGGCCCCUCUCAUAUCUCAUGUCCUUCACAUUUUGCAAAGUACAAUCCCAACACUCCUCCAAACUCUUAACUAGUUGAAGCAUUAACUCAAAAGUCCCCAUUCCAAAGUCUCAUCUAAGACAAGGUUAAUGCCUUCUGCCUAUCAGCCUAUAA
This is a long non-coding RNA of Sapajus apella (tufted capuchin), 1386 nucleotides long. RefSeq lists it as uncharacterized. NCBI's taxonomy places the organism in Eukaryota, Metazoa, Chordata, Mammalia, Primates, Cebidae. The transcript is spliced from 2 exons. The record is from RefSeq and is a predicted model, not a curated record.